Molecule: transfer RNA, 77 nt
Filed under: Pseudomonadota bacterium
Lineage: Bacteria; Pseudomonadati; Pseudomonadota
Also listed under: 2 other names
Description: Proteobacteria bacterium tRNA-Pro
Rfam family: tRNA
About the family: Transfer RNA (tRNA) molecules are approximately 80 nucleotides in length.
Source: RNAcentral
CGGGGCGUAGCGCAGCUUGGUAGCGCGCUUCAAUGGGGUUGAAGAAGUCGGAGGUUCAAAUCCUCUCGCCCCGACCA